This 253-nucleotide ribosomal RNA is filed under the name uncultured bacterium. RNAcentral describes it as "partial 16S ribosomal RNA". It matches the Rfam family "Bacterial small subunit ribosomal RNA", at positions 524 to 776 of the family's 1533-position model. The record is from RNAcentral.
UACGUAGGGGGCAAGCGUUGUCCGGAUUUAUUGGGCGUAAAGAGCGUGUAGGCGGCCUGAAAGGUCAGCUGUGAAAACUCGAGGCUCAACCUCGAGACGUCGGUUGAAACCAUCUGGCUAGAGUCCGGAAGAGGAGUGUGGAAUUCCCGGUGUAGCAGUGAAAUGCGUAGAGAUCGGGAGGAACACCAGUGGCGAAGGCGGCCUUCUGGACCAAUACUGACGCUCAUGCACGAAAGCGUGGGGAGCAAACAGG